UGGAGGCAGCAGUGGGGAAUGCUGCACAAUGGGCGGAAGCCUGAUGCAGCGACGCCGCGUGAGGGAUGACGGCCUUCGGGUUGUAAACCUCUUUCAGCAGGGACGAAGCGUGAGUGACGGUACCUGCAGAAGAAGCGCCGGCCAACUACGUGCCAGCAGCCGCGGUAAGACGUAGGGCGCGAGCGUUGUCCGGAUUUAUUGGGCGUAAAGAGCUCGUAGGCGGCUUGUUGCGUCGACCGUGAAAACCCGGGGCUCAACUUCGGGCUUGCGGUCGAUACGGGCGGGCUAGAGUUCGGUAGGGGAGACUGGAAUUGCUGGUGUAGCGGUGAAAUGCGCAGAUAUCAGGAGGAACACCGGUGGCGAAGGCGGGUCUCUGGGCCGAUACUGACGCUGAGGAGCGAAAGCGUGGGGAGCGAACAGGAUUAGAUACCCUAGUA
RNAcentral lists this ribosomal RNA (437 nucleotides) under uncultured bacterium. RNAcentral's name for it is "bacterial SSU rRNA". It matches the Rfam family "Bacterial small subunit ribosomal RNA", at positions 343 to 792 of the family's 1533-position model. The record is from RNAcentral.